This 378-nucleotide ribosomal RNA is filed under the name uncultured bacterium. RNAcentral describes it as "bacterial SSU rRNA". It matches the Rfam family "Bacterial small subunit ribosomal RNA", at positions 28 to 416 of the family's 1533-position model. The record is from RNAcentral.
GAUGAACGCUGGCGGCGUGCCUAACACAUGCAAGUCGAGCGGCAGCGCGAGUAGUUUACUACUUGGCGGCGAGCGGCGAACGGCUGAGUAACGCGUGGGAAUUUGCCCCAAAGUGAGGAAUAACUGCCCGAAAGGGUGGCUAAUGCCGCAUAUGAUCUUCGGAUUAAAGGAUUUAUCCGCUUUGGGAGAAGCCCGCGUCGGAUUAGGUAGUUGGUGAGGUAAUGGCUCACCAAGCCGACGAUCCGUAGUUGGUCUGAGAGGAUGACCAGCCAGACUGGAACUGAGACACGGUCCAGACUCCUACGGGAGGCAGCAGUGAGGAAUCUUCCACAAUGGGCGAAAGCCUGAUGGAGCAACGCCGCGUGCAGGAUGAAGGCC